UCCGUUGGUGAACCAGCGGAGGGAUCAUUACCGAGUUUUCAACUCCCAAACCCUUAUGUGAACCUACCUAUCGUUGCUUCGGCGGAACCGCCCCAGCCGGACGCGGACUGGACCAGCGGCCGCCGGGGACCAUCAAACUCUUGUAUUAUCAGCAUCUUCUGAAUACGCCGCAAGGCAAAACAAAUAAAUUAAAACUUUCAACAACGGAUCUCUUGGCUCUGGCAUCGAUGAAGAACGCAGCGAAAUGCGAUAAGUAAUGUGAAUUGCAGAAUCCAGUGAAUCAUCGAAUCUUUGAACGCACAUUGCGCCCGCAGCAUUCUGGCGGGCAUGCCUGUUCGAGCGUCAUUUCAACCCUCGACCUCCCUUGGGGAAGCGGCGUUGGGGACCGGCAGCACACCGCCGGCCCUAAAUGGAGUGGCGGCCCGUCCGCGGCGACCUACUGCGUAGUAAAUCAGCUCGCACGUAACCCCGACGUGGCCUCACCGUAAAACACCCAACUUCUGAACGUUGACCUCGAAUCAGGUAGGACUACCCGCUGAACUUAAGCAUAUCAAUAAGCGGAGGAC
RNAcentral lists this ribosomal RNA (566 nucleotides) under Beauveria bassiana. RNAcentral describes it as "eukaryotic LSU rRNA". The stretch from base 193 to 345 matches the Rfam family "5.8S ribosomal RNA". Lineage: Eukaryota; Fungi; Ascomycota; Sordariomycetes; Hypocreales; Cordycipitaceae. The record is from RNAcentral.